UGAGUUGAUUUUAUCACGAAU
This 21-nucleotide non-coding RNA is filed under the name Caenorhabditis elegans. The record is from RNAcentral. Lineage: Eukaryota; Metazoa; Nematoda; Chromadorea; Rhabditida; Rhabditidae.